RNAcentral lists this ribosomal RNA (355 nucleotides) under Klebsiella pneumoniae. Its description in RNAcentral is "bacterial SSU rRNA". It matches the Rfam family "Bacterial small subunit ribosomal RNA", at positions 321 to 668 of the family's 1533-position model. Lineage: Bacteria; Pseudomonadati; Pseudomonadota; Gammaproteobacteria; Enterobacterales; Enterobacteriaceae. The record is from RNAcentral.
GAGACACGGUCCAGACUCCUACGGGAGGCAGCAGUGGGGAAUAUUGCACAAUGGGCGCAAGCCUGAUGCAGCCAUGCCGCGUGUAUGAAGAAGGCCUUCGGGUUGUAAAGUACUUUCAGCGGGGAGGAAGGCGAUAAGGUUAAUAACCUUGUCGAUUGACGUUACCCGCAGAAGAAGCACCGGCUAACUCCGUGCCAGCAGCCGCGGUAAUACGGAGGGUGCAAGCGUUAAUCGGAAUUACUGGGCGUAAAGCGCACGCAGGCGGUUUGUCAAGUCGGAUGUGAAAUCCCCGGGCUCAACCUGGGAACUGCAUUCGAAACUGGCAGGCUAGAGUCUUGUAGAGGGGGGUAGAAUU